UUUUUUGAGGAAGCCUUAGUUUUUUCCAUUUCCACUACAAAAAACAAUACAGGUAAAGGAAAAAUUAAUGAUAAUCAUGAAUUUGAUAUAGGUCUUCAUAAAAUUAAUUCCAUGCCAAUAAUUAAAAGCUCAUGCUAGUUUUAGCCAAGUGUUGUGACUAUGCCACAACCAAACAGAAAAAUAGAGGAUAGGGGGGAAGAA
RNAcentral lists this unclassified non-coding RNA (201 nucleotides) under Hevea brasiliensis (rubber tree). The record is from RNAcentral. Lineage: Eukaryota; Viridiplantae; Streptophyta; Magnoliopsida; Malpighiales; Euphorbiaceae.